AGCGAACGCUGGCGGCAGGCCUAACACAUGCAAGUCGAACGAACCUUUCGGGGUUAGUGGCGGACGGGUGAGUAACACGUGGGAACGUGCCUUUAGGUUCGGAAUAACUCAGGGAAACUUGUGCUAAUACCGAAUGUGCCCUUCGGGGGAAAGAUUUAUCGCCUUUAGAGCGGCCCGCGUCUGAUUAGCUAGUUGGUUGAGGUAAUGGCGCACCAAGGCGACGAUCAGUAGCUGGUCUGAGAGGAUGAUCAGCCACAUUGGGACUGAGACACGGCCCAAACUCCUACGGGAGGCAGCAGUGGGGAAUCUUGCGCAAUGGGCGAAAGCCUGACGCAGCCAUGCCGCGUGAAUGAUGAAGGUCUUAGGAUUGUAAAAUUCUUUCACCGGGGACGAUAAUGACGGUACCCGGAGAAGAAGCCCCGGCUAACUUCGUG
RNAcentral lists this ribosomal RNA (434 nucleotides) under uncultured bacterium. Its description in RNAcentral is "partial 16S ribosomal RNA". It matches the Rfam family "Bacterial small subunit ribosomal RNA", at positions 29 to 507 of the family's 1533-position model. The record is from RNAcentral.